This is a long non-coding RNA of Zea mays, 1168 nucleotides long. RefSeq lists it as uncharacterized. The transcript is spliced from 3 exons. The record is from RefSeq and is a predicted model, not a curated record. NCBI's taxonomy places the organism in Eukaryota, Viridiplantae, Streptophyta, Magnoliopsida, Poales, Poaceae.
AACAGUGCACGGUUCUGCCAUCUACGGACGCGCCCACCUCACCUCCAUCCGCCUGUAGCCAUGGCCUGCCUCGAUCCUAGCUUGGAAGGUUCCCGAGAUCCCCGCCUCCCUACACCGAUCCGCCCACGGACGCGCCCACCUCACCUCCAUCCUCCCGUAGCCAUGGCCCGCCUUGAUCCCAGCUUGGAAGGUUCCUGAGAUCCCUGCCUCCCUACGCCGAUCCGCCCCUCGCGCCGCGUCUCUCUCGUUGCGUCCUUCCAUGGAUCCGACUCUUUGGAAGGUCCACACCACGAGCGCGCCUUCCAUGGAUGGAGACACCACGAGCCGCGUCGCCGCAUCCUAUCUGGUGCCAAGAAUCACGGACGCUGCUUCCUCCAUCCGCCCGGAUCCAACUCACCUUCCCUGCUCUCUGGUUCCGCGAAGAAUAUUGAACCGCGCCGCCUUUGGAAGGUCCACAACACGAGCGCGCCUUCCAUGGACAGAGACACCACGAUCCGCGCCGCCGCAUCCUCUCUGGUGCCAAGAAUCGCGGAUGCCGCUUCCCACCUGACCCAAUCGUCCGCAAUCUCCAUCUCCUGGCCCGCGUCGUUGCGUCCGCGCUCUCCUCCUGCCCCGCGGCAUUGCGUCCGCAAUCUCCUCCUCCUGCCGCGUCGUUGCUCUCGCGCUGAACAUGGUCUGCGCCGCUGCUCUCGCGCUGAACAUGUAAGGCAAGUCAGCUCCCAAAUCGGACCCGCGCUGAACAUGGACUGCGCCCAAAUCGGAUCCGCAAUUAUAAAUGUUCAGCGCGGCAUGCCAUAACAACCCAAGAUUAUUCACGACGCUCUCCAUACAUCUACUGCUGCCAGGUCCAAAACAUCUGCACUAGAACACCUAAAAAGAAGUCCGCCAAAGAUUUGAUAUUGGGUCGUGGAUAAAAGUUGAUUGAACUCCAAGCCAAUAAAUCAAAUCUACACAUUCAGGUACAUGAUCCUUUGUUAGUUUACCAGCUUUUUUGCUGCUCUAUCUCAUCACACUAGCCCUUUUUUCUACUAUCAGUUGUACUUCUUGAUUAUGUAUUUCAAUUGGCUGACAUGUUCAAGUGGAAAAAAUAUCUCUUUAAAACAAAAAAAACUCAACAGUUGCUGACAUACCCUAGUAUGAAUACAUCAAAUUAAAUCCAAAUGAUUAU